UUGUUCCUACGGGACGCAGCAGUGAGGAAUAUUGGUCAAUGGGAGAGAUCCUGAACCAGCCAAGCCGCGUGAGGGAAGACGGCCCUAUGGGUUGUAAACCUCUUUUGUCGGAGAACAAAACCCGGGACGUGUCCCGGACUGCGUGUAUCCGAAGAAAAAGCAUCGGCUAACUCCGUGCCAGCAGCCGCGGUAAUACGGAGGAUGCGAGCGUUAUCCGGAUUUAUUGGGUUUAAAGGGUGCGCAGGCGGAGGUGCAAGUCAGCGGUCAAAUUGCGGGGCUCACCCCCGUACUGCCGUUGAAACUGC
RNAcentral lists this ribosomal RNA (305 nucleotides) under uncultured bacterium. RNAcentral describes it as "bacterial SSU rRNA". It matches the Rfam family "Bacterial small subunit ribosomal RNA", at positions 333 to 636 of the family's 1533-position model. The record is from RNAcentral.